RNAcentral lists this ribosomal RNA (494 nucleotides) under uncultured bacterium. RNAcentral describes it as "partial 16S ribosomal RNA". It matches the Rfam family "Bacterial small subunit ribosomal RNA", at positions 28 to 507 of the family's 1533-position model. The record is from RNAcentral.
GACGAACGCUGGCGGCGUGCCUAAUACAUGCAAGUAGAACGCUGAAGGAGGAGCUUGCUUCUCCGGAUGAGUUGCGAACGGGUGAGUAACGCGUAGGUAACCUGCCUGGUAGCGGGGGAUAACUAUUGGAAACGAUAGCUAAUACCGCAUAACAGUAGAUAUCGCAUGAUAUCUGCUUGAAAGGUGCAAUUGCAUCACUACCAGAUGGACCUGCGUUGUAUUAGCUAGUUGGUGAGGUAACGGCUCACCAAGGCGACGAUACAUAGCCGACCUGAGAGGGGGACGGCCACACUGGGACUGAGACACGGCCCAGACUCCUACGGGAGGCAGCAGUAGGGAAUCUUCGGCAAUGGACGGAAGUCUGACCGAGCAACGCCGCGUGAGUGAAGAAGGUUUUCGGAUCGUAAAGCUCUGUUGUAAGAGAAGAACGAGUGUGAGAGUGGAAAGUUCACACUGUGACGGUAUCUUACCAGAAAGGGACGGCUAACUACGUG